AAGCCAGAGAAGCACUGCUACAAAGGAUUGGAUUUUCUUCAGUGGAAAGGAGAAUUUCUAUUUAAGGAGUUUCUAAAUCAGUAAGAAAGGACAAGACAAUGGAUCAAGUAACACUGGACUGAAACGUCUAAAACUGUGAGAAGUCAAACUUUCCUCUCAAGGUUUUUUUUUUUUUUUAAAUCUUAGGUGUUUUAGCAAUGUGAUGAAAACUGGGCUAAAACAUUAGUAUCAUCUUUAAAUAAAUGUGGAAUUAUUUUU
Long non-coding RNA from Dipodomys spectabilis (banner-tailed kangaroo rat), 258 nucleotides. RefSeq lists it as uncharacterized. The record is from RefSeq and is a predicted model, not a curated record. The transcript has 2 exons. NCBI's taxonomy places the organism in Eukaryota, Metazoa, Chordata, Mammalia, Rodentia, Heteromyidae.